Molecule: ribosomal RNA, 292 nt
Filed under: uncultured bacterium
Lineage: Bacteria
Description: partial 16S ribosomal RNA
Rfam family: Bacterial small subunit ribosomal RNA
Source: RNAcentral
GUGCCAGCAGCCGCGGUAAUACGGGGGGGGCAAGCGUUGUUCGGAAUUACUGGGCGUAAAGGGUUUGUAGGUGGCCUGCUAAGUCAGACGUGAAAUCCCUCAGCUUAACUGGGGAACUGCGUCUGAGACUGGUAGGCUCGAGGACAGGAGAGGAACGCGGAAUUCCAGGUGUAGCGGUGAAAUGCGUAGAUAUCUGGAGGAACACCGGUGGCGAAGGCGGCGUUCUGGACUGUUUCUGACACUGAAAAACGAAAGCCAGGGGAGCAAACGGGAUUAGAUACCCCAGUAGUCC